GAUGAACGCUGGCGGCGUGCCUAAUACAUGCAAGUCGAGCGAACAGACGAGGAGCUUGCUCCUUUGACGUUAGCGGCGGACGGGUGAGUAACACGUGGGUAACCUACCUAUAAGACUGGGAUAACUUCGGGAAACCGGAGCUAAUACCGGAUAAUAUUUCGAACCGCAUGGUUCGAUAGUGAAAGAAGGCUUUGCUAUCACUUAUAGAUGGACCUGCGCCGUAUUAGCUAGUUGGUAAGGUAACGGCUUACCAAGGCAACGAUACGUAGCCGACCUGAGAGGGUGAUCGGCCACACUGGAACUGAGACACGGUCCAGACUCCUACGGGAGGCAGCAGUAGGGAAUCUUCCGCAAUGGGCGAAAGCCUGACGGAGCAACGCCGCGUGAGUGAUGAAGGUCUUCGGAUCGUAAAACUCUGUUAUUAGGGAAGAACAAACGUGUAAGUAACUGUGCACGUCUUGACGGUACCUAAUCAGAAAGCCACGGCUAACUACGUG
Molecule: ribosomal RNA, 497 nt
Filed under: uncultured bacterium
Lineage: Bacteria
Description: partial 16S ribosomal RNA
Rfam family: Bacterial small subunit ribosomal RNA
Source: RNAcentral